UACCAGCACCCCGAGUGGUCGGGACGUUUAUUGGGCCUAAAGCAUCCGUAGCCGGUUCUACAAGUCUUCCGUUAAAUCCAGCUGCUUAACAGAUGGGCUGCGGAAGAUACUAUGGAGCUAGGAGGCGGGAGAGGCAAACGGUACUCGAUGGGUAGGGGUAAAAUCCGUUGAUCCAUUGAAGACCACCAGUGGCGAAGGCGGCUUGCCAGAACGCGCUCGACGGUGAGGGAUGAAAGCUGGGGGAGCAAACCGG
RNAcentral lists this ribosomal RNA (253 nucleotides) under uncultured bacterium. RNAcentral's name for it is "partial 16S ribosomal RNA". It matches the Rfam family "Archaeal small subunit ribosomal RNA", at positions 474 to 727 of the family's 1478-position model. The record is from RNAcentral.